CGGCACGGGUAAGUAACACGUAUCCAACCUGCCGUCUACUCUUGGACAGCCUUCUGAAAGGAAGAUUAAUACAAGAUGGCAUCAUGAGUCCGCAUGUUCACAUGAUUAAAGGUAUUCCGGUAGACGAUGGGGAUGCGUUCCAUUAGAUAGUAGGCGGGGUAACGGCCCACCUAGUCUUCGAUGGAUAGGGGUUCUGAGAGGAAGGUCCCCCACAUUGGAACUGAGACACGGUCCAA
RNAcentral lists this ribosomal RNA (236 nucleotides) under uncultured bacterium. RNAcentral describes it as "partial 16S ribosomal RNA". It matches the Rfam family "Bacterial small subunit ribosomal RNA", at positions 100 to 334 of the family's 1533-position model. The record is from RNAcentral.